This 361-nucleotide unclassified non-coding RNA is filed under the name Hevea brasiliensis (rubber tree). Lineage: Eukaryota; Viridiplantae; Streptophyta; Magnoliopsida; Malpighiales; Euphorbiaceae. The record is from RNAcentral.
GUUCAAGCUUUACUGGAUGGCCCAGAAAAUGGGAGAUCACGGGAGGGACAUUCCUCUGGAGACGCAAUUUUUGCUAGUCGAGACUAAGGAUGGUUCCCAACUCGAAUCCGACUACGGAAACGAAGAGAAUCAGAUAAUUUACACAGUUUUCCUUCCUUUGAUUGAAGGAUCUUUUAGAGCUUCUUUGCAGGGAAACAUGAACGACGAGCUCGAGCUCUGUUUGGAAAGCGGCGACCCUGAAACCAAAGCGUCGUCGUUUUCGAACUCUUUGUUCAUUCACGCCGGUACAGAUCCGUUUGGUACGAUUGCAGAUGCAAUAAGAUCAGUUAAGUUACAUUUAAAAACUUUCCGUCAACGGCAC